This 305-nucleotide ribosomal RNA is filed under the name uncultured bacterium. RNAcentral's name for it is "bacterial SSU rRNA". It matches the Rfam family "Bacterial small subunit ribosomal RNA", at positions 335 to 640 of the family's 1533-position model. The record is from RNAcentral.
GUCCUACGGGAGGCAGCAGUGGGGAAUAUUGCACAAUGGGGGAAACCCUGAUGCAGCGACGCCGCGUGAGUGAAGAAGUAUUUCGGUAUGUAAAGCUCUAUCAGCAGGGAAGGAAUAGCGACCUUUGGAUCGCCAGACGGUACCUGACUAAGAAGCCCCGGCUAACUACGUGCCAGCAGCCGCGGUAAUACGUAGGGGGCAAGCGUUAUCCGGAUUUACUGGGUGUAAAGGGAGCGUAGACGGCAGCACAAGUCUGAAGUGAAAUGCCGGGGCUUAACCCCGGAACUGCUUUGGAAACUGUGCAG